RNAcentral lists this ribosomal RNA (489 nucleotides) under uncultured Lachnospiraceae bacterium. Its description in RNAcentral is "bacterial SSU rRNA". It matches the Rfam family "Bacterial small subunit ribosomal RNA", at positions 8 to 507 of the family's 1533-position model. The record is from RNAcentral. Lineage: Bacteria; Bacillati; Bacillota; Clostridia; Lachnospirales; Lachnospiraceae.
AGAGUUUGAUCCUGGCUCAGGAUGAACGCUGGCGGCGUGCUUAACACAUGCAAGUCGAACGGACUCAUAUUGAAACCUAGUGAUUUAUGAGUUAGUGGCGGACGGGUGAGUAACGCGUGGAAAACCUGCCGUAUACUGGGGGAUAACACUUAGAAAUAGGUGCUAAUACCGCAUAAGCGCACAGCUUCGCAUGAAGUGGUGUGAAAAACUCUGGUGGUAUACGAUGGUUCCGCGUCUGAUUAGCUUGUUGGUGGGGUAAUGGCUCACCAAGGCGACGAUCAGUAGCCGGCCUGAGAGGGUGAACGGCCACAUUGGGACUGAGACACGGCCCAAACUCCUACGGGAGGCAGCAGUGGGGAAUAUUGCACAAUGGGGGAAACCCUGAUGCAGCGACGCCGCGUGUGGGAAGACGGUCUUCUGGAUUGUAAACCACUGUCCCCAGGGACGAAAAUGACGGUACCUGGGGAGGAAGCUCCGGCUAACUACGUG